UACGUAGGGUGCAAGCGUUAAUCGGAAUUACUGGGCGUAAAGCGUGCGCAGGCGGUGAUGUAAGACAGAUGUGAAAUCCCCGGGCUCAACCUGGGAACUGCAUUUGUGACUGCAUCGCUGGAGUGCGGCAGAGGGGGAUGGAAUUCCGCGUGUAGCAGUGAAAUGCGUAGAUAUGCGGAGGAACACCGAUGGCGAAGGCCAUCCCCUGGGCCUGCACUGACGCUCAUGCCCGAAAGCGUGGGGAGCAAACAGG
This 253-nucleotide ribosomal RNA is filed under the name uncultured bacterium. RNAcentral's name for it is "partial 16S ribosomal RNA". It matches the Rfam family "Bacterial small subunit ribosomal RNA", at positions 524 to 776 of the family's 1533-position model. The record is from RNAcentral.